This is a long non-coding RNA of Sebastes umbrosus (honeycomb rockfish), 152 nucleotides long. RefSeq lists it as uncharacterized. Lineage: Eukaryota; Metazoa; Chordata; Actinopteri; Perciformes; Sebastidae. The transcript is spliced from 4 exons. The record is from RefSeq and is a predicted model, not a curated record.
CCGGCAUGAAAGUGACCUCUGUGAGUCGACUGAACGCAACAAACCCAAACAGUCCUCUGAAGUAGUAAAAGCCCGAACAGUCCGCUGUGCGUAGCAGCCGUGUGGACGCUAGUGUGAGUGUACAGAGUUCAAUGGUAGAGUGAGUGUGCAGG